UCGCAGAUCAGAAUGCUGCGGUGAAUGCGUUCCCGGGUCUUGUACACACCGCCCGUCACACCACGGGAGUUGGAGACGCCCGAAGCCGAUUAUCUAACCUUUUGGCAGAAGUCGUCGAAGGUGGAAUUAAUAACUGGGGUGAAGUCGUAACAAGGUAGCCGUAUCGGAAGGUGCGGCUGGAUCACCUCCUUUCUAAGGAGA
RNAcentral lists this ribosomal RNA (201 nucleotides) under Clostridioides difficile. Its description in RNAcentral is "partial 16S ribosomal RNA". It matches the Rfam family "Bacterial small subunit ribosomal RNA", at positions 1342 to 1533 of the family's 1533-position model. Lineage: Bacteria; Bacillati; Bacillota; Clostridia; Peptostreptococcales; Peptostreptococcaceae. The record is from RNAcentral.